RNAcentral lists this unclassified non-coding RNA (163 nucleotides) under soil metagenome. RNAcentral's name for it is "partial contains 5.8S ribosomal RNA, internal transcribed spacer 2, and large subunit ribosomal RNA". The record is from RNAcentral.
AACACUGUUAACCUGCGGUACCUGCGGAGGGAUCAUUACAAGUUUUUAAAAGUGUUGAAAGGUGUGAGGGGGUCUCUCCCUUCCCCUUUCUUACAUUUACGCGUGUUGUGUUUGACAGAGUUAUUUUUUUAAUUUACUCUAUACAACUUUCAACAAUGGAUCU